AAAGCGUGCGCAGGCGGUUUUGUAAGACAGUCGUGAAAUCCCCGGGCUCAACCUGGGAAUUGCGAUUGUGACUGCAAGGCUGGAGUGCGGCAGAGGGGGAUGGAAUUCCGCGUGUAGCAGUGAAAUGCGUAGAUAUGCGGAGGAACACCGAUGGCGAAGGCAAUCCCCUGGGCCUGCACUGACGCUCAUGCACGAAAGCGUGGGGAGCAAACAGGAUUAGAUACCCGGGU
RNAcentral lists this ribosomal RNA (230 nucleotides) under uncultured bacterium. Its description in RNAcentral is "partial 16S ribosomal RNA". It matches the Rfam family "Bacterial small subunit ribosomal RNA", at positions 562 to 791 of the family's 1533-position model. The record is from RNAcentral.